UACAUUAAAAUACGCAACCAACCGUCAUUGAACCGUCCAAUCAGAUCAAAGGAGUAAUCGUCGUAUAUCGUGCGUUAUCGAUAAUGUUCGGUGCCUGGAGAAAAUUGACAAUUGACAAGAGAAUUGUUUAUUAUUUUUGACUUUUUAGUUCGUUUAAUUUAAUAAUUACUAAAACCAGUAGUUCGAAAGAUAUAUUUAAAAAUAAAAGAUAAAAAUCCAAAAAAUUAAUUAUCUAUUAACGUGGAUUUGGACGACAAUAGCAUUUUUAGUUUGUGAUAUUUCAUGUGAUGAUCAUUUUCAUGUUCAUCGUCUUUGAAUUGACAUGAGGAUAUCUAUGGAAAAGUAACUAAUCUGAAAGUAAGCCAACAUAUCGUUUGUCCUUUGUGUGCUAAAGAAAAGAUUUUCUUUUCGCAUCAUGAGGAAGUAUUACAUCAAUUAAAAAAUGUUAGGAAGUUGAUUACUUGUCAUGGAAAAGUAUACCAAUGGAAAUUAUUUGUUAAAGAAGUAUAAUUCUAAGGGUUUUAAGAAUAAAUUGGUUGAACCCAAAAUCUGGAGGAAGUACCUAUAUCCAUACACAGAAUAUGCCCAUUAAAAAUACUAGUCCAAAUUUGCUUUAAUGGUAGACAAUUAUUCAAUACAAAUUAACUUUUUAAGUGACUGAAAUAUUAAAUAGUUUAGAAUAUGGUAUAACAAUGUAAAAAAAUAUUAUUUUCAGGAACGAUUAGGGCCCGAUAUAUUUGAAACUCAUGUUGGACAUAGUAUUGAGUUGGGUAGAAUAUUAUUCUACGUUAAGUGAGGGUAUCAGAUACCUAUUAUUGUACUGUAUUUUAAUAUAUACAUUAGAAUUGUUGGUUUUUU
RNAcentral lists this long non-coding RNA (858 nucleotides) under Sitophilus oryzae (rice weevil). RNAcentral's name for it is "uncharacterized LOC115889377, transcript variant X2". The record is from RNAcentral. Lineage: Eukaryota; Metazoa; Arthropoda; Insecta; Coleoptera; Curculionidae.